This 424-nucleotide ribosomal RNA is filed under the name uncultured Bacteroides sp. RNAcentral describes it as "bacterial SSU rRNA". It matches the Rfam family "Bacterial small subunit ribosomal RNA", at positions 355 to 776 of the family's 1533-position model. Lineage: Bacteria; Pseudomonadati; Bacteroidota; Bacteroidia; Bacteroidales; Bacteroidaceae. The record is from RNAcentral.
UGAGGAAUAUUGGUCAAUGGCCGAGAGGCUGAACCAGCCAAGUAGCGUGAAGGAUGACGGCCCUACGGGUUGUAAACUUCUUUUAUAAGGGAAUAAAGUGCAUCACGCGUGAUGUUUUGUAUGUACCUUAUGAAUAAGCAUCGGCUAACUCCGUGCCAGCAGCCGCGGUAAUACGGAGGAUGCGAGCGUUAUCCGGAUUUAUUGGGUUUAAAGGGAGCGCAGGCGGACGCUUAAGUCAGUUGUGAAAUCCCGCGGCUCAACCGUGGAAUUGCAGUUGAUACUGGGUGUCUUGAGUGCGGCAGAGGCAUGCGGAAUUCGUGGUGUAGCGGUGAAAUGCUUAGAUAUCACGAAGAACUCCGAUUGCGAAGGCAGCAUGCUGGGCCGUUACUGACGCUGAGGCUCGAAAGUGCGGGUAUCAAACAGG